UUCCUUGGUCAGCUCAGCUUCUUCUUGACCGGUGUACAGGGAACGUUCAUGUAUAGGCAAGCAAAAAUCCCCAUUUCUUUCUACAGAGCCUCAAGGCCCCAAAUUCCCCAAUCUAUUAGUAGCUAUGCUGCCAGCCAACAUCAUGCCCUCGGCCAGCAGCGAUGACGGCUGCAGCGGCGACGGUGACGGGGGCAACUACAGCAGCAGUGGCGUCGACGGCGGCAGCGGCGCCGACGCCGACGCCAGCGACGGUGGCGGGUUCAAUCCAAGACCACCGAGAACAAGCAGCGUUGUCAUCGCCCACUACGCUAGCAUAGCAUGAGCGUAUCAAUCACGGUCAAGCUGCAGCAAGCUCAAGAUGUUGGAGCUUGUAGGUACCUAUUGUGUUUAAUACUAACUUGCCCAAUAAAGUGGAUCCACUCGACCUGCUAUUAGCAUUUGUUUGGUGAUGACUCCAUACAUAUGUUCUUUUGUUGCUUUGCUCUAGAUAUGCCAGCAUAAAUAUGUAUUUACAAGUUACAACCACAAAUCUCUGUAGUGCAUAAUUCAGUAACAGUAACCUGCAAAUAUAAAUCGUUUUAGCACUAAAUAGAAAUGAAUAGACAAGAAAUUCAACUAAACAUAUAGUGAAAAUCAUUGUCAAAUUGUUGGAUUGGCUGCCCAUGAUGCCAUCCUUCAUUUUCUGGAGUCAUUAACGCAGGAGCAUGAACUGAACUAUGUAUCGAUGCAUGUAAAGCCGCAUUGUACUCUGAUAUGUGUAAAAAGGAUUGGUUAUUGGGAACCUCAAAAUGACCCUGUUACAAGAAAAUUUAAUGGAAAAAGGUCAGCGGCAAUAAUCAAACCAUGCAGUUUUUUCUGAUUAAAUUAUGUGUUGAAUAUACCAUUACUGUAGUAUGUUGUUCCGGCUGCAUCUCCAUCAUUGGUUGAGGUUGUAGUGAAGUGGUUGAGACAUCCUCGUUCGUCUUCUUCUUCUUUCUCCGUGAUUGUGCUUUAUCUAUGCCACUAAUAGGUCUUGCUGACCCACGUAUUUGUUUUUUCUUGAGCUUAAUGCCUACUGGCUUACUAGGCUUCUGAAUUUCUUUUGUAACUACACAAAUAAAUUUGGCAUGCAUAGUCAGAUUAGGAUAGGACAAAUAAUUACUAUAUGGAACUGAUAUACAAACCUUGUGGAGAAAAGGAGCUCUCUAAGUCUGGAUCACAUCUAAUUUUCAAGCAUUUCUCUAUAUCUUCUGCCAAUUUUUCUGCACAACUAGCAGAUAUGGAAUAUGUUUCUUCAGAUUUUGCAGCUCGAGAAGCAAUUCUAACAAACAUUCUGCAUAGUGAGGAGUACCGGUCUGAUAAUUUUAUUCUAGGAUCAUCAUGCAUAUUGUACCUUCAAUGCAUGAGAGCACAGAAUGCCAACAAAUUCAAACUUCUUGCAGCUGCAUUUGACACUAGACUCCAAUGGCUAGCAAAUGGAUCAUGGGGUUCGUGAGAUCUGGAAAUGACUCUGUUAUGGAAGAAUCGUGGUGUUGUCUUCCAUGGUGACAGGAUUUUGGAUGAUGCCAGGGGUUUGAUAUGAGAUAGAUUAGUUUUCCACGAUGGAUAUGUAUUGUACAAAGAAGGCAGCGGUGCCUGUAACUUUGUUUCCCGCCACCAAUUCUCUCUGUUUGGCGCCACAAUUAUGUUAGCUAAAUUAAUUGGUGUUUCCAUUUACCAUGGUAUUUCC
Molecule: long non-coding RNA, 1708 nt
Organism: Oryza brachyantha (malo sina)
Lineage: Eukaryota; Viridiplantae; Streptophyta; Magnoliopsida; Poales; Poaceae
Exons: 3
Source: RefSeq, a predicted model, not a curated record